ACCAGACUCCUACGGGAGGCAGCAGUGGGGGAUAUUGCACAAUGGGGGAACCCUGAUGCAGCGACGCCGCGUGGGUGAAGGAGCGUUUCGGCGCGUAAAGCCCUAUCGGCAGGGAAGAAGGAGGACGGUACCUGACUAAGAAGCCCCGGCUAACUACGUGCCAGCAGCCGCGGUAAUACGUAGGGGGCAAGCGUUAUCCGGAUUUACUGGGUGUAAAGGGGGCGCAGACGGCAGCGCAAGCCAGGAGUGAAAGCCCGGGGCCCAACCCCGGGACUGCUCUUGGAACUGCGCGGCUGGAGUGCAGGAGGGGCAGGCGGAAUUCCUGGUGUAGCGGUGAAAUGCGUAGAUAUCAGGAGGAACACCGGCGGCGAAGGCGGCCUGCUGGACCGCUACUGACGUUGAGGCUCGAAAGCGUGGGGAGCGAACAGGAUUAGAUACCCGCGUAAUA
RNAcentral lists this ribosomal RNA (448 nucleotides) under uncultured bacterium. RNAcentral's name for it is "partial 16S ribosomal RNA". It matches the Rfam family "Bacterial small subunit ribosomal RNA", at positions 330 to 795 of the family's 1533-position model. The record is from RNAcentral.